Molecule: long non-coding RNA, 961 nt
Organism: Megalopta genalis
Lineage: Eukaryota; Metazoa; Arthropoda; Insecta; Hymenoptera; Halictidae
Source: RefSeq, a predicted model, not a curated record
GCUUUCGGUUUAUAACAAAUGUCAUCCUAUUCGUUUCAGUAUGCUGAACGCGAAAUAUUAUGUUUUGUUAAAAAUGAAUAGUUCUGGAGUAUAUAUACAACAUCGGCUACUACUACAGAGAUGAAUCCUACAUUGUAUGUACCAACGUGUUGUGUCAUGACGGCGCGCUACAGUCAGUUGCAGCAUGCUUGCGACCACACUUUCUCCCGACUAAUCGACUAAAAUUUAAUAUUCAGAUUCUCGUAAUCAGCAACCAUGGAAACCUAGGCAUACAACUCUGUCAAUGUUUUACAUUUUGACCAUUAUUCGGGUUUCGCUACCACUGUGAGCCGGCACUCUAAAAAGUAGAAAAGUAGGGGGCCUAGUCUAGCUGCGUGCAUACUGCAUAAUGCGCACGCAGUAGACACCAGGUGUGGCGCGCCGUCACGGACGCGUAGGUAUAUGCGCAGGAUUAACGAUCUUAUGGUAGCAGAAGUUUUUCACGAAUAUAUCAAAAAGUAUUCAUUUUCGCCAAAAAUGACGAAUACAUUUCGCGUUUAGCAUACCGAUAGCGUCUAGUGUGUCUAGUGAUAUAAUGUCUAUUAUAAUUGCAACCGAUAUGGAGAAAAUUGAUAAUAAUUGCCUUUUAUCUUGGGCCUACUGCGAGUAGAUACGUUCCUGCCCAAAAGAAAAACCGGCCAAUGAAGAUCUAUGACGCACGUGUGUCUUGUAAUUACAUAGUAAUUUAUAACGAAUAUUAUUGACGAGUAUCGUAUAUGAAUUGUAUAUUAUACGUUGCCAUUAAUUAUAAAACCACAACUAUGAUAGAAACAUGCCAUUAUAACAAAAUAAACUGAAUCUAUCACAACAUUAAAAUAACCUAACUCGAAUAUGUACUACGAAUUUCAUGUGCACACCUUAAUUACCUGCAAUUACGAUAAUUUGUUAUGUAUAUAAUAUAUAUAUGACCAAUUUAAACUUA